This 476-nucleotide ribosomal RNA is filed under the name uncultured bacterium. Its description in RNAcentral is "bacterial SSU rRNA". It matches the Rfam family "Bacterial small subunit ribosomal RNA", at positions 27 to 518 of the family's 1533-position model. The record is from RNAcentral.
GGACGAACGCUGGCGGCGUGCCUAACACAUGCAAGUCGAACGGACGAGGGGAGCUUGCUCCCCAAGUUAGUGGCGGACGGGUGAGUAACACGUGAGCAACCUGCCCUUCGGAGGGGGACGACAGCGGGAAACUGCUGCUAAUACCGCAUAAUGUAUUCUGGAGGCAUCUCCGGGAUACCAAAGAUUUUAUCGCCGAAGGAUGGGCUCGCGUCUGAUUAGAUAGUUGGUGGGGCAACGGCCCACCAAGUCUGCGAUCAGUAGCCGGACUGAGAGGUUGAACGGCCACAUUGGGACUGAGAUACGGCCCAGACUCCUACGGGAGGCAGCAGUGGGGAAUAUUGGGCAAUGGGGGCCAACCCUGACCCAGCAACGCCGCGUGGAGGAAGAAGGCUUUCGGGUUGUAAACUCCUUUGACGAGGGACGAUGAUGACGGUACCUCGAAAACAAGCCACGGCUAACUACGUGCCAGCCGCGGC